CCUUCGGUGGAGGUGGAGAGGUAGUUACUUCGCCAUUACGGGGCGGUGGUCGCAGGUUCGAAUCCUGCCGGGGGCG
Molecule: transfer RNA, 76 nt
Filed under: Methanosarcinales archaeon ex4484_138
Lineage: Archaea; Methanobacteriati; Methanobacteriota; Methanomicrobia; Methanosarcinales
Description: tRNA-Val
Source: RNAcentral